GCCAGACUCCUACGGGAGGCAGCAGUGGGGGAUAUUGCACAAUGGGGGAAACCCUGAUGCAGCGACGCCGCGUGAGUGAAGAAGUAAUUCGUUACGUAAAGCUCUAUCAGCAGGGAAGAAAAUGACGGUACCUGACUAAGAAGCCCCGGCUAACUACGUGCCAGCAGCCGCGGUAAUACGUAGGGGGCAAGCGUUAUCCGGAAUUACUGGGUGUAAAGGGAGCGCAGGCGGCACGGCAAGUCUGGUGUGAAAACCCGGGGCUCAACCCCGGGACUGCAUUGGAAACUGCCGGGCUGGAGUGUCGGAGGGGUAAGCGGAAUUCCUAGCGUAGCGGUGAAAUGCGUAGAUAUUAGGGGGAACACCAGUGGCGAAGGCGGCUUACUGGACGAUGACUGACGCUGAGGCUCGAAAGCGUGGGGAGCACACAGGAUUAGAUACCCUUGUAU
This 446-nucleotide ribosomal RNA is filed under the name uncultured bacterium. Its description in RNAcentral is "bacterial SSU rRNA". It matches the Rfam family "Bacterial small subunit ribosomal RNA", at positions 330 to 793 of the family's 1533-position model. The record is from RNAcentral.